RNAcentral lists this long non-coding RNA (507 nucleotides) under Mytilus galloprovincialis (Mediterranean mussel). Lineage: Eukaryota; Metazoa; Mollusca; Bivalvia; Mytilida; Mytilidae. The record is from RNAcentral.
GCUCUUUGACAUUUCUUACAGAUAACAGUUGUACUAAUUUAAAAGUAGAUGGUCUCUCAUAGUAAUAACUCUUUAUAUAUUUACAUCUGAUGUCGUUAUAUUUAUCACAUUCUAAAAUAAAAUGAUAUUCAUCUUCAAUAGCAUUUUUAUUACACAUACUACACAAACGUUCAUUUCUGGCUAUACUAUAGUAUCUACCUGUUUCUAUACAUAGUGCAUGAGCAUUUAUUCUAUAUCUAGUAAUAUAAGAUCUAUACAAACUGUUUAAUGGACGACUAAGGUAAAAUUGCAUAGUGUGACCAUCGUGUAAAUACUGAUACAAAGUACAUUUCGGCGAAUUUUCAAAAUAUGAUAAACCUUCAGAUAUAUAAUUAUCUAUUACUCUUUGUUUAAAUUCACUCAAAAAUAAUUGACUGUUUCUAACUCUCUGUGAAAACCAAACAUCACUAAAACCAUAUUUACAUAAUAUAUCUCGUACUUUACAAGACCAAUUUAGCUUGUCAUUUG